RNA transcript from Gallus gallus (chicken), 1113 nucleotides. RefSeq lists it as uncharacterized. The transcript has 5 exons. The record is from RefSeq and is a predicted model, not a curated record. Lineage: Eukaryota; Metazoa; Chordata; Aves; Galliformes; Phasianidae.
GGCCCGCACCGAGCGCUGCAGCUCGCCCAGCCAGCAGCUGGCCCGCUCCUUGCCGCUGGGGUCGGGGUCGUGGUAGAGGGCCUGCACGGCCUGGUACACCAGCUGCAGGCUGGGCUGGGCCCCGCCGCCCUCCAUGGCCCCACCGCCGCGCUCAGCGCCGCCCUCCGUCGCCCGCCGCCAUCUUCGGGGCCUCCGCGCCGGUACCGGAGCGCGGCGGUGCGACGCGGAAUGCGGUCCCCCCGGAAACUCAGAAAGGGGAAGUUCCGCCCCGCUCGGAAAUGCGUUCCGCGUCGACUUCCGGUUCGGCGGUGCGAUUCGAAUAGCACCCCUUCCCCCCCCGGAAACAAUGUUCCGCCUCAGAGGUGCGAUGCAAUAAGCGGUCCCUACGGAAACGCUGACCACAAAGGGUCCUUGAAGAUGAUAUACCGCAGAAUGGUUGGGCUGCAUGGGAUCCCAGAGCCCCAGAGCCACAACCCCAUCCGGGGGCUGAGUGCUCCCCCCCCGAUCCGGACGGGCACAGUUGGGUGAGUCACAUCUGGACUGGACGUGGGGGGAGGGGCGGGGCACAUCUGGGCGGGGCAGCCGCCGGCAGGUCCUGGCAGCGCCACUCCACUCCGCUCCGCUCCACGGCCCCGCCCGGUGCAGCAGUGGCAUCACCGGGACCGGCGCCAAACGGGCGGUGCCGGAGCCGUUCCGCUGCUCCGAGCGGCGCCGCGACGCUACGCCACGGAGCAGGACAGCACCAAUCCCUGUCACAGCACCCUGGGCACUGACCCCACUCUUCGCCAUGGCCACCAAUUCCCCCGUGUUCCCCAUGGGCUCUGGGGUGACAACAGCGGUGCCACGAGUCCCUGAAACAUCAGCGCCGGAUACGGUGGUGUUGGUGUGUGCCUUCACUGCUGCUUUCGUGGCCGUGGCCAUCGUGGUAGUAGUGGUGUGUCGAUGUUGGAAGCGGUGCUGCGGGAGAACAGCCCAGGACCCUGCAGCAUUGGAAGGGAACAGGAACGGUGCGGCGGUGCCCAUGGGAGCCCCGAAGAGCCCUGAAGACUGAGCCCGGCGGGAGCCCCGCGCGUGUCCCCACUAAUACAAUAAAGCUCCGCUGCUGCCACCGCC